This is a long non-coding RNA of Macrobrachium nipponense, 499 nucleotides long. RefSeq lists it as uncharacterized. NCBI's taxonomy places the organism in Eukaryota, Metazoa, Arthropoda, Malacostraca, Decapoda, Palaemonidae. The record is from RefSeq and is a predicted model, not a curated record. The transcript has 3 exons.
GAUCAUAGGUACUAUUUAAACGAAAACUGUCCAUUUUCUGUUUAUGAAAGGAAGGAAGGAACCAAGAGACCAAGUUGACAAGAGAUGAUGCGUCGUCAUCUAUUUUCUUGGAAUAUUUUCCCAUGAAUCAUGACUGGUGUCGUUUCAUACAGUCUGGAUGGAAGAGCUUACUUAGUACGUACUACAGUUUGAUUUGAACAGCUCUUGGCGGCAUAACAACGCCUAUUUCCACCACAUCAAGUCGUCGUCUAAGGCUUUGAAUAAUUAUUUUGAAGGGCAAACUUGCUGAAUGUUGGGUCGUUUGCUGCCUUUGCCUUUCUAUAAACAAAUUCAACCAAAUCUGCAAAAUCAACUCCUCUCUUUUCUUCCCUCAAAUGUCCAGCCAGGCUACACCACUUGUUCCGAAGAUUCUCCCUCAGAAGAACCUUCCUUCCUUCAUCAGUUUUUUUGAUUAGCAUCAGGAUUUUGGGAAAUGCCUGUUGUUUAAUGGUACUACAUG